AUUGAACGCUGGCGGCAUGCCUUACACAUGCAAGUCGAACGGCAGCACGGGAGCAAUCCUGGUGGCGAGUGGCGAACGGGUGAGUAAUGUAUCGGAACGUGCCCAGUCGUGGGGGAUAACGUAGCGAAAGCUACGCUAAUACCGCAUACGAUCUAUGGAUGAAAGCGGGGGAUCGCAAGACCUCGCGCGAUUGGAGCGGCCGAUAUCAGAUUAGGUAGUUGGUGGGGUAAAGGCUCACCAAGCCGACGAUCUGUAGCUGGUCUGAGAGGACGACCAGCCACACUGGGACUGAGACACGGCCCAGACUCCUACGGGAGGCAGCAGUGGGGAAUGUUGGACAAUGGGCGCAAGCCUGAUCCAGCAAUGCCGCGUGCAGGAUGAAGGCCUUCGGGUUGUAAACUGCUUUUGUACGGAACGAAACGGCGAGCUCUAAUACAGUUUGCUAAUGACGGUACCGUAAGAAUAAGUCACGGCUAACUACGUGCCAGCCGCCGCCGUAA
RNAcentral lists this ribosomal RNA (500 nucleotides) under uncultured bacterium. RNAcentral describes it as "partial 16S ribosomal RNA". It matches the Rfam family "Bacterial small subunit ribosomal RNA", at positions 30 to 523 of the family's 1533-position model. The record is from RNAcentral.